Molecule: ribosomal RNA, 1002 nt
Filed under: Mucilaginibacter sp.
Lineage: Bacteria; Pseudomonadati; Bacteroidota; Sphingobacteriia; Sphingobacteriales; Sphingobacteriaceae
Description: bacterial SSU rRNA
Rfam family: Bacterial small subunit ribosomal RNA
Source: RNAcentral
CAUGCAGUCGGACGGGAUUUGGGAGCUUGCUCCUGAUGAGAGUGGCGCACGGGUGCGUAACACGUAUGUAACCUACCUUAAUCUGGGGGAUAGCCUCUCGAAAGAGAGAUUAACACCGCAUAACAUCAUCGGACAGCAUUUUUUGAUGAUCAAAUAUUUAUAGGAUUAAGAUGGGCAUGCGGAACAUUAGCUAGUUGGUAAGGUAAUGGCUUACCAAGGCUACGAUGUUUAGGGGAUCUGAGAGGAUGACCCCCCACACUGGUACUGAGACACGGACCAGACUCCUACGGGAGGCAGCAGUAAGGAAUAUUGGUCAAUGGGCGGAAGCCUGAACCAGCCAUGCCGCGUGCAGGAAGACGGCCCUACGGGUUGUAAACUGCUUUUGUACCGGAAUAAACCUUGAUUCGUGAAUCAAGCUGAAUGUACGGUAAGAAUAAGGAUCGGCUAACUCCGUGCCAGCAGCCGCGGUAAUACGGAGGAUCCGAGCGUUAUCCGGAUUUAUUGGGUUUAAAGGGUGCGUAGGCGGCUUUUUAAGUCAGGGGUGAAAGACGGUAGCUCAACUAUCGCAGUGCCUUUGAUACUGAAGAGCUUGAAUACACUUGAGGUAGGCGGAAUGUGACAAGUAGCGGUGAAAUGCAUAGAUAUGUCACAGAACACCAAUUGCGAAGGCAGCUUACUAAAGUGUGAUUGACGCUGAGGCACGAAAGCGUGGGGAUCAAACAGGAUUAGAUACCCUGGUAGUCCACGCCCUAAACGAUGAAUACUCGAUGUUGGCGAUAUACGGUCAGCGUCUAAGCGAAAGCGUUAAGUAUUCCACCUGGGGAGUACGCCCGCAAGGUGAAACUCAAAGGAAUUGACGGGGGCCCGCACAAGCGGAGGAGCAUGUGGUUUAAUUCGAUGAUACGCGAGGAACCUUACCCGGGCUUGAAAGUUAGUGAAUGAUUCAGAGACGAAUCAGUCCUUCGGGACACGAAACUAGGUGCUGCAUGGCUGUCGUCAGCU